This 76-nucleotide transfer RNA is filed under the name Anaerolinea sp. RIFOXYB12_FULL_60_12. Its description in RNAcentral is "tRNA-Trp". It matches the Rfam family "tRNA". Rfam says of the family: Transfer RNA (tRNA) molecules are approximately 80 nucleotides in length. Their secondary structure includes four short double-helical elements and three loops (D, anti-codon, and T loops). Lineage: Bacteria; Bacillati; Chloroflexota; Anaerolineae; Anaerolineales; Anaerolineaceae. The record is from RNAcentral. RNAcentral also lists the same sequence under 2 other names.
AGGCCAGUAGCUCAAUUGGUAGAGCACUCGUCUCCAAAACGAGCGGUUGAGGGUUCGAGUCCUUCCUGGCCUGCCU